AUUGAACGCUGGCGGCAGGCCUAACACAUGCAAGUCGAACGAGUGGCGGACGGGUGAGUAAUGUCUGGGAAACUGCCUGAUGGAGGGGGAUAACUACUGGAAACGGUAGCUAAUACCGCAUACCAUCAGAUGUGCCCAUCUGGGAUUAGCUAGUUGGUGGGGUAACGGCUCACCAAGGCGACGAUCCCUAGCUGGUCUGAGAGGAUGACCAGCCACACUGGAACGGAGAAACGGUCCAGACGCCGCCGGGAGGCAGCAGUGGGGAAUAUUGCACAAUGGGCGCAAGCCUGAUGCAGCCAGGCCGCGUGUAUGAAGAAGGCCUUCGGGUUGUAAAGUACUUUCAGCGGGGAGGCGUUACCCGCAGAAGAAGCACCGGCUAACUCCGUGCCAGCAGCCGCGGUAAUUC
RNAcentral lists this ribosomal RNA (406 nucleotides) under uncultured bacterium. Its description in RNAcentral is "partial 16S ribosomal RNA". It matches the Rfam family "Bacterial small subunit ribosomal RNA", at positions 30 to 526 of the family's 1533-position model. The record is from RNAcentral.